Non-coding RNA from Arachis ipaensis, 453 nucleotides. NCBI's taxonomy places the organism in Eukaryota, Viridiplantae, Streptophyta, Magnoliopsida, Fabales, Fabaceae. The record is from RefSeq and is a predicted model, not a curated record.
ACUACCCCCCUCUUCCCCAUUCAUUCAUCUCAGAUCUCACAUUCUCACUCCAUCGUGAACCCUAGCCCUCUGUAGCAAAGGAAUAACGUACCCAGUACCCUAGUCCAGUAGCCAUCCAUCGUUGCCGCGGUUCACAGGUCGUCAGCGCCGCCGCCGUCGCCAGAUCCUCAGCACCGCCGCUUCAACCUCUUUCCCGUGUCCGGAACCCAGUCACUCGGCAGAUCCUCUUCGUCUUCGCUGGAAGCUCAAACCCAGAACACAAGUACUUGUAGCUUUGUCUGGAACCUACACUCUUGGAAGUAAAGGUUUUGGAAGUCCAACUUCUUUUGACAAUGCAUAUUAUAAGAUUCUUUUGGAGAAGCCUUGGGCAAAUUCAGGUGGCAUGUCAAGUAUGAUUGGCCUUCCUUCAGAUCUCAAAUGCCGAUUUUGUUCUCAAAUGCUUCAAUAUUAGGA